This 203-nucleotide ribosomal RNA is filed under the name Russula alboareolata. RNAcentral's name for it is "partial large subunit ribosomal RNA". It matches the Rfam family "Eukaryotic large subunit ribosomal RNA", at positions 82 to 278 of the family's 3401-position model. Lineage: Eukaryota; Fungi; Basidiomycota; Agaricomycetes; Russulales; Russulaceae. The record is from RNAcentral.
AGUAACGGCGAGUGAAGCGGGAAAAGCUCAAAUUUAAAAUCUGGUGGCUUUGGGCCACCCGAGUUGUAAUUUAGAGAAGCGUCUUCCGCGCUGGACCGUGCACAAUCCUCCUGGAAUGGAGCGUCAUAGAGGGUGAGAACCCCGUCUUGGGCACGGACUCCCGGUGUUUUGCGAUGCGCUCUCGACGAGUCGAGUUGUUUGGG